AGCCCGCGGCGGCGGCGGCGGCUGCAGUGAAGAAAUGGCGGAGACUGUGGCGGACACCCGGCGGCUGAUCACCAAGCCGCAGAACCUGAAUGAUGCCUACGGGCCGCCCAGCAACUUCCUAGAGAUCGAUGUGAGCAACCCGCAGACGGUGGGGGUUGGCCGGGGCCGCUUCACCACCUACGAAAUCAGGGUCAAGACAAAUCUGCCUAUUUUCAAGCUGAAGGAAUCUACUGUUAGAAGAAGAUACAGUGACUCUGAAUGGCUGCGAAGUGAAUUAGAAAGAGAGAGCAAGGUUGUAGUCCCCCCGCUCCCUGGAAAAGCGUUUUUGCGUCAGCUUCCUUUUAGAGGAGAUGAUGGAAUAUUUGAUGACAAUUUUAUUGAAGAAAGGAAGCAAGGGCUGGAGCAGUUUAUAAACAAGGUCGCUGGUCAUCCUCUGGCACAGAAUGAACGUUGUCUUCACAUGUUUUUACAGGACGAAAUUAUAGAUAAAAGCUAUACUCCAUCUAAAAUAAGACAUGCCUGAAAUUUGGUGAGAAGGGGCAAAACAAAAAACAAAACCAAAAAAAACCUUUCCAUGACUGUUAUUCAUAUGCACCAGUGAAGAAGUUCUAACUUUUAGCAUGCUGCACAGAAACUGGUAUAACAUGCCUUCAGUAUACUAACCUUCAUAUGCUCUGUUUUGUUUUGUUUUGUUUUGUUUUGGCAGUUGACAAGAAGUUAAUUUGCUUUAGUGAAAAAUCCCUCAUUCCAGCCUUUCUAUAUAAAUAGGUCUUCCUUGCUGUUUUAUUGUGGUACCCACUAUGGCCUCACAGACCUGUUACUCCAGUAUAACCCGCAGUGUCCUAACUAAAGUUACUGACUUGGUCUUAUCUGCACA
This is a non-coding RNA of Callorhinus ursinus (northern fur seal), 877 nucleotides long. The record is from RefSeq and is a predicted model, not a curated record. NCBI's taxonomy places the organism in Eukaryota, Metazoa, Chordata, Mammalia, Carnivora, Otariidae.